AGUGUAAGACUCCGUGGGGUGUAUAUAGUGCUUGUUAUUCUCUCAGAUGCGCAUUUCUGAACUGAUAUCGAGGAUCAGGUUAACACUGCGUGGACGAGCGAUAGCGGUGUGUUUCGCCAGGGCCCUUGGCGACCUCGGACGGUGGAGGUGCAGGUGAUGGUGGAGGGAGGGAAGGAGAGGAGACAAAGUGGGAGGAAAUAGACGGUGCUUACUACCUACCUAUUCCUUCUGCAACUUCGGCAUUUGCUCCUAAUCCAACACCUGUUUCUUCCUGUUACACCGUCAGCUUGUAUUAGAUGACAGUGGUCGACAGAGGUGAGGUACUGACAGUGGGUGUGCCAGAUGCUGAGUCAUUGGUGCCACUUCCCUGUCCCAUCUGUCUCUUCGCCACUCCAUUCCUGCCCAUGCACUGUCCUUGCCACCACCACCAGUACUUGUAGUCGCUGCCAGAAAGCAAAACCUUCCCUGUGCCCGUGAGUCAUGGCAGCGUGAGGAGAUGGAGGGGCGGAGUGGGAGUGGCAGAGCGAGUGGGUACCGGGGAGGAUGCCUUUACUACGUGUCUGAUGUUGAAAGUGGCAGUCAAGAAUCCAGCUGAAGGUUCUUAGGAAUUAAUGUGGAUGAUGCAAGAAUUCGUUCUCUUUGCUCAUAGAUUUUUUCUGUCUUAUUCUAGUACUAGUUUAUGUUGUUAUUUGAUUUCCUGUCUGUAACAGCAGGAUGUCGCUUUUUUUGUUACUCAUAGUGA
Portunus trituberculatus (swimming crab) is the source of this 742-nucleotide long non-coding RNA. RefSeq lists it as uncharacterized. NCBI's taxonomy places the organism in Eukaryota, Metazoa, Arthropoda, Malacostraca, Decapoda, Portunidae. The transcript is spliced from 4 exons. The record is from RefSeq and is a predicted model, not a curated record.